AACAAACGCUGGCGGCAUGCCUAACACAUGCAAGUCGAACGAGAUCUUCGGGUCUAGUGGCGCACGGGUGCGUAACGCGUGGGAAUCUGCCCUUUGGUUCGGAAUAACAGUUGGAAACGACUGCUAAUACCGGAUGAUGACGGAAGUCCAAAGAUUUAUCGCCAGAGGAUGAGCCCGCGUAGGAUUAGCUAGUUGGUGUGGUAAAGGCACACCAAGGCGACGAUCCUUAGCUGGUCUGAGAGGAUGAUCAGCCACACUGGGACUGAGACACGGCCCAGACUCCUACGGGAGGCAGCAGUGGGGAAUAUUGGACAAUGGGCGAAAGCCUGAUCCAGCAAUGCCGCGUGAGUGAUGAAGGCCUUAGGGUUGUAAAGCUCUUUUACCCGGGAUGAUAAUGACAGUACCGGGAGAAUAAGCUCCGGCUAACUCCGUGCCAGCAGCCGCCGUAA
Molecule: ribosomal RNA, 449 nt
Filed under: uncultured bacterium
Lineage: Bacteria
Description: partial 16S ribosomal RNA
Rfam family: Bacterial small subunit ribosomal RNA
Source: RNAcentral